Brachypodium distachyon (stiff brome) is the source of this 1100-nucleotide long non-coding RNA. RefSeq lists it as uncharacterized. The record is from RefSeq and is a predicted model, not a curated record. The transcript has 6 exons. Lineage: Eukaryota; Viridiplantae; Streptophyta; Magnoliopsida; Poales; Poaceae.
UGAAAAUACUUUCUUCGUGCAUAUAUUAAGUACAAUACUGUGUGAAAUAAAUAUGCAAGCACAAUUGACAAAUCGUCUGUAUCACGUCAGUAACUCACGGGGGAAGUCGACAUCCAUCCUACCCGGCAUGUAAGAUUGAGCUGAAAAUGGAGACAUGUAGCAGAAACGUGUACUUACGGGAUCUCUACAUGCUGGAAGUCUUCCUCACUUGACCUGAUGAUAACCUCGCGUCCUGCCCGGUGGAGAAAGGCGGCUUGGAUCAUAUCCCAGUCUUCCAUUCUCCAGACAUCAUCUAAAACUACCAGAUGCAUGCAGUGGAAGGGGUAAUGAGCACCCUUCGACAUGGCACCCAUGAAGGACCUUUUUAUGUUGUUCUCCCUCGCCAAGAUGUUUGCCAUGUCGAUAAUAAUCUCGAUGCUGUAAGCUACAUCCCUGACCUCUGACACCAGGAACUUGGCGCAGAGAGGCAGCUUCUUGGAUUACAGCGGCGCCUGCCCUUUGCAACACAGCAGCAACCACAUGCUCGGCCAUAUCUCUUGAUUUCUGUAUUUGGUAUCACAGGGUUAGGCAACUUAAAAGAUGAUCGCAAUUGAGAACUAGAAGCCCAAAGAUGCAAUCAUGCAGCCGGACCGGGACAAAUACCUGUGCUAUCCGCCGAAGAGAACACUGGAUUCUGGAUCUGGAAGCUCGGUUGUCUCGAGAGGAAUUCGUGUGGUUUGUUGUUAUCCAGAAUGCCAAAGUCAGUUCAUGGACGUCGAUGACUGUGAAGUGCUGUUUCAAUACUCUGGGCUAGUGACGUUGACGCGGGGUCUUGUGACAGUGCUUCUUCUUUUGUUUUUCGAACGUGGACGGGUUCCUGAAUCCUGACUAGGUGUUGCAUUAAAAACAAUAUAAUUAGAACAAACUUUUCAUUAGUUUAUCACGAAAGGGCAAGGCACUCAACGACCGGCCCGGAUGGUUUCUGCAGUUUGUGGCACUACGCCACUACAUGUAUUGGCUCCUGGGCCACCAUGUGAAGCACUGAAGCUUUUAAAAAAAAAACUUGUAGUCCACUUUGUUAAGACAAUUGUUCAGGAUUACAAUCUGAUUGGAUGAGGAAA